This 1411-nucleotide ribosomal RNA is filed under the name metagenome. RNAcentral's name for it is "bacterial SSU rRNA". It matches the Rfam family "Bacterial small subunit ribosomal RNA". The record is from RNAcentral.
AACACAUGCAAGUCGAGCGGUAGAAGUAGCAAUACUUUGAGAGCGGCGCACGGGUGAGUAACGCGUAUGUAACCUAGCGAUAACUGGGGGAUAGCCUUCCGAAAGGGAGAUUAAUACCGCAUAACACUAUGAUACGGCAUCGUAAUAUAGUUAAACAUUUAUGGGUUAUCGAUGGACAUGCGUGACAUUAGUUAGUUGGUGAGGUAACGGCUCACCAAGACUACGAUGUCUAAGGGGUCUUAAAGGAUGAUCCCUCACACUGGUACUGAGGCACGGACCAGACUCCUACGGGAGGCAGCAGUGGGAAUAUUGGUCAAUGGACGCAAGUCUGAACCAGCCAUGCCGCGUGCAGGAUGACGGCCCUACGGGUUGUAAACUGCUUUUAUAGGGGGAUAAAUUAAGCUACGUGUAGUUUAUUGAAGGUACCCUAUGAAUAAGGAUCGGCUAACUCCGUGCCAGCAGCCGCGGUAAUACGGAGGAUUCAAGCGUUAUCCGGAUUUAUUAGGUUUUAAGGGUUCGUAGGCGGGAGAUUAAGUCAGUGGUGAAAUGCAACAGCUUAACUGUUGAACUGCCAUUGAUACUGGUUUUCUUGAGUGUAGUUGAGGUAGGCGGAAUGUAUCAUGUAGCGGUGAAAUGCAUAGAUAUGAUACAGAACACCGAUUGCGAAGGCAGCUUACUAAGCUAUAACUGACGCUGAGGAACGAAAGCGUGGGGAUCAAACAGGAUUAGAUACCCUGGUAGUCCACGCCGUAAACGAUGAUUACUCGAUGUGUGUGAUAUACAGUACGUGUCUAAGCGAAAGCAAUAAGUAAUCCACCUGGGGAGUACGUUCGCAAGAAUGAAACUCAAAGGAAUUGACGGGGGCCCGCACAAGCGGAGGAACAUGUGGUUUAAUUCGAUGGUACGCGAGGAACCUUACCCGGGUUUGAACGCAGAGUGCAUGAGGUGGAAACACUUCUUUCCGCAAGGACUUUCUGCGAGGUGCUGCAUGGUUGUCGUCAGCUCGUGCCGUGAGGUGUCGGUUUAAGUACCAUAACGAGCGCAACCCCUAUUAUUAGUUGCUAGCGGUUAAAGCCGGGGACUCUAAUGAGACUGCCAUCGUAAGAUGUGAGGAAGGUGGGGAUGACGUCAAAUCAGCACGGCCCUUAUAUCCGGGGCUACACACGUGUUACAAUGGACGGUACAGAGGGCAGCUACUGGGUGACCAGAUGCAAAUCUCGAAAGCCGUUCUCAGUUCGGAUCGAAGUCUGCAAUUCGACUUCGUGAAGCUGGAUUCGCUAGUAAUCGCGCAUCAGCCAUGGCGCGGUGAAUACGUUCCCGGGCCUUGUACACACCGCCCGUCAAACAAUGGAAGCUGGGGGUACCUAAAGUCCGUAACCGCAAGGAGCGGCCUAGGGUAAAACUGGUAACU